Molecule: ribosomal RNA, 535 nt
Filed under: uncultured Entrophospora
Lineage: Eukaryota; Fungi; Glomeromycota; Glomeromycetes; Entrophosporales; Entrophosporaceae
Description: SSU rRNA
Rfam family: Eukaryotic small subunit ribosomal RNA
Source: RNAcentral
AGCAGCCGCGGUAAUUCCAGCUCCAAUAGCGUAUAUUAAAGUUGUUGCAGUUAAAAAGCUCGUAGUUGAAUUUCGGGAUUGACACAUCGGUCGUGCCUUAAGGGGUAUGAACUGGUGUAGUCAAUUUCUCACCUUCUGGAGAACCACGAUGCCCUUAAUUGGGUGUCGCGGGGAACCAGGACCUUUACUUUGAAAAAAUUAGAGUGUUUAAAGCAGGCAUUUUGCUUGAAUACAUUAGCAUGGAAUAAUAAAAUAGGACGGCAUGAUUCUAUUUUCUAUUUUGUUGGUUUCUAGGAUCACCGUAAUGAUUAAUAGGGAUAGUUGGGGGCAUUAGUAUUCAAUUGUCAGAGGUGAAAUUCUUGGAUUUAUUGAAGACUAACUACUGCGAAAGCAUUUGCCAAGGAUGUUUUCAUUAAUCAAGAACGAAAGUUAGGGGAUCGAAGACGAUCAGAUACCGUCGUAGUCUUAACCAUAAACUAUGCCGACUAGGAAUCAGACGAUGUUAAUUUUUUAAUGACUCGUUUGGCACCUUACG